UUAAGCGACUAAGCGUACACGGUGGAUGCCCUGGCAGUCAGAGGCGAUGAAGGACGUGCUAAUCUGCGAUAAGCGUCGGUAAGGUGAUAUGAACCGUUAUAACCGGCGAUUUCCGAAUGGGGAAACCCAGUGUGAUUCGACACACUAUCAUUAACUGAAUCCAUAGGUUAAUGAGGCGAACCGGGGGAACUGAAACAUCUAAGUACCCCGAGGAAAAGAAAUCAACCGAGAUUCCCCCAGUAGCGGCGAGCGAACGGGGAGGAGCCCAGAGCCUGAAUCAGUGUGUGUGUUAGUGGAAGCGUCUGGAAAGGCGCGCGAUACAGGGUGACAGCCCCGUACACAAAAAUGCACAUGCUGUGAGCUCGAUGAGUAGGGCGGGACACGUGGUAUCCUGUCUGAAUAUGGGGGGACCAUCCUCCAAGGCUAAAUACUCCUGACUGACCGAUAGUGAACCAGUACCGUGAGGGAAAGGCGAAAAGAACCCCGGCGAGGGGAGUGAAAAAGAACCUGAAACCGUGUACGUACAAGCAGUGGGAGCACGCUUAGGCGUGUGACUGCGUACCUUUUGUAUAAUGGGUCAGCGACUUAUAUUCUGUAGCAAGGUUAACCGAAUAGGGGAGCCGAAGGGAAACCGAGUCUUAACUGGGCGUUAAGUUGCAGGGUAUAGACCCGAAACCCGGUGAUCUAGCCAUGGGCAGGUUGAAGGUUGGGUAACACUAACUGGAGGACCGAACCGACUAAUGUUGAAAAAUUAGCGGAUGACUUGUGGCUGGGGGUGAAAGGCCAAUCAAACCGGGAGAUAGCUGGUUCUCCCCGAAAGCUAUUUAGGUAGCGCCUCGUGAAUUCAUCUCCGGGGGUAGAGCACUGUUUCGGCAAGGGGGUCAUCCCGACUUACCAACCCGAUGCAAACUGCGAAUACCGGAGAAUGUUAUCACGGGAGACACACGGCGGGUGCUAACGUCCGUCGUGAAGAGGGAAACAACCCAGACCGCCAGCUAAGGUCCCAAAGUCAUGGUUAAGUGGGAAACGAUGUGGGAAGGCCCAGACAGCCAGGAUGUUGGCUUAGAAGCAGCCAUCAUUUAAAGAAAGCGUAAUAGCUCACUGGUCGAGUCGGCCUGCGCGGAAGAUGUAACGGGGCUAAACCAUGCACCGAAGCUGCGGCAGCGACGCUUAUGCGUUGUUGGGUAGGGGAGCGUUCUGUAAGCCUGUGAAGGUGUGCUGUGAGGCAUGCUGGAGGUAUCAGAAGUGCGAAUGCUGACAUAAGUAACGAUAAAGCGGGUGAAAAGCCCGCUCGCCGGAAGACCAAGGGUUCCUGUCCAACGUUAAUCGGGGCAGGGUGAGUCGACCCCUAAGGCGAGGCCGAAAGGCGUAGUCGAUGGGAAACAGGUUAAUAUUCCUGUACUUGGUGUUACUGCGAAGGGGGGACGGAGAAGGCUAUGUUGGCCGGGCGACGGUUGUCCCGGUUUAAGCGUGUAGGCUGGUUUUCCAGGCAAAUCCGGAAAAUCAAGGCUGAGGCGUGAUGACGAGGCACUACGGUGCUGAAGCAACAAAUGCCCUGCUUCCAGGAAAAGCCUCUAAGCAUCAGGUAACAUCAAAUCGUACCCCAAACCGACACAGGUGGUCAGGUAGAGAAUACCAAGGCGCUUGAGAGAACUCGGGUGAAGGAACUAGGCAAAAUGGUGCCGUAACUUCGGGAGAAGGCACGCUGAUAUGUAGGUGAAGUCCCUCGCGGAUGGAGCUGAAAUCAGUCGAAGAUACCAGCUGGCUGCAACUGUUUAUUAAAAACACAGCACUGUGCAAACACGAAAGUGGACGUAUACGGUGUGACGCCUGCCCGGUGCCGGAAGGUUAAUUGAUGGGGUUAGCGCAAGCGAAGCUCUUGAUCGAAGCCCCGGUAAACGGCGGCCGUAACUAUAACGGUCCUAAGGUAGCGAAAUUCCUUGUCGGGUAAGUUCCGACCUGCACGAAUGGCGUAAUGAUGGCCAGGCUGUCUCCACCCGAGACUCAGUGAAAUUGAACUCGCUGUGAAGAUGCAGUGUACCCGCGGCAAGACGGAAAGACCCCGUGAACCUUUACUAUAGCUUGACACUGAACAUUGAGCCUUGAUGUGUAGGAUAGGUGGGAGGCUUAGAAGUGUGGACGCCAGUCUGCAUGGAGCCGACCUUGAAAUACCACCCUUUAAUGUUUGAUGUUCUAACGUUGACCCGUAAUCCGGGUUGCGGACAGUGUCUGGUGGGUAGUUUGACUGGGGCGGUCUCCUCCUAAAGAGUAACGGAGGAGCACGAAGGUUGGCUAAUCCUGGUCGGACAUCAGGAGGUUAGUGCAAUGGCAUAAGCCAGCUUGACUGCGAGCGUGACGGCGCGAGCAGGUGCGAAAGCAGGUCAUAGUGAUCCGGUGGUUCUGAAUGGAAGGGCCAUCGCUCAACGGAUAAAAGGUACUCCGGGGAUAACAGGCUGAUACCGCCCAAGAGUUCAUAUCGACGGCGGUGUUUGGCACCUCGAUGUCGGCUCAUCACAUCCUGGGGCUGAAGUAGGUCCCAAGGGUAUGGCUGUUCGCCAUUUAAAGUGGUACGCGAGCUGGGUUUAGAACGUCGUGAGACAGUUCGGUCCCUAUCUGCCGUGGGCGCUGGAGAACUGAGGGGGGCUGCUCCUAGUACGAGAGGACCGGAGUGGACGCAUCACUGGUGUUCGGGUUGUCAUGCCAAUGGCACUGCCCGGUAGCUAAAUGCGGAAGAGAUAAGUGCUGAAAGCAUCUAAGCACGAAACUUGCCCCGAGAUGAGUUCUCCCUGACCCUUUAAGGGUCCUGAAGGAACGUUGAAGACGACGACGUUGAUAGGCCGGGUGUGUAAGCGCAGCGAUGCGUUGAGCUAACCGGUACUAAUGAACCGUGAGGCUUAACCUU
RNAcentral lists this ribosomal RNA (2902 nucleotides) under Escherichia coli. RNAcentral's name for it is "bacterial LSU rRNA". It matches the Rfam family "Bacterial large subunit ribosomal RNA". The record is from RNAcentral. Lineage: Bacteria; Pseudomonadati; Pseudomonadota; Gammaproteobacteria; Enterobacterales; Enterobacteriaceae.